RNAcentral lists this ribosomal RNA (1125 nucleotides) under Triticum aestivum (bread wheat). Its description in RNAcentral is "partial small subunit ribosomal RNA". Lineage: Eukaryota; Viridiplantae; Streptophyta; Magnoliopsida; Poales; Poaceae. The record is from RNAcentral.
AUGACAAGUCUACCAAGGGAGAUUGGGAAAUUGCAGCGUUUGAAAACACUCAAGGCGUGUUGGACAUGGAUCACAGAGCUGCCUCGUGAGAUGGGGAACCUCCAGAAUUUGGAGACUCUUGACCUGAUUUACAGCCGCGGGCUCACAGGACUGCCUCGUGAGAUUGGGAAUCUGCAGAAUCUGGAACAACUGCUCUUGAGUGCUACGGGGGUGGUAAAGCUACCAAGAGAAAUUGGGAGGCUGAAGAAGCUGAAGACUUUGAAAUUGAGUGAGACCAUCGCUGUACUACCCUGGGAGGCAGGCCAGCUUUCAGAAUUGGAGGGAGUGCCCGAGUGCAUCCGCAAAGCUUGGAAGAAUAGUGAUUUUGUGUCUGAGUUAGCCGGGGAGAUCCUGUCGAUUGAACUGGUUAGAUGGGAUGGUGAUCCAAAGGGGCUAAUUGUUGGUACAAAACACAUGCACAUUCCCCAGUGGAUCAAGGAUCACUUCAACGACCUUGGGUCGUUGGAUAUCAGGAUAUGCAAAUUGGAGGAGGAGCAGGAUCUCAAGAUUCUGCGGGAGAUGCCCAAGCUACAACAUCUCACGCUAAGGUUGGAAGCCGUCCCAAGGAAGCCCAUAGCCAUCAGCGCUGAAGGGUUUCCAAGGCUCCAUCGUCUCUAUGUUGACAGCCGCGUGCCACCGGUUAUCAUCUUCCAGGAAGGAGCGAUGCCGAGGCUGUUUGAACUCCGCUUCGAGUUCCAGUUCUACGGUGGCCCGCCUCCGCCUGCAAAUAAAGAGGCUCAGCUGGGUAUCAAACACAUCCGGUACCUCCUCUCGGUCGAAUUUAUAUGCAGCCAGGAAUGGUAUGGAGGAGCAGAAGAGAGCAGGAGCCCGUGCAUGAGCGCCAUGAUUGACGUGGUGAGGAAAGAAGCCCAGGAGCAUCCCAACCAGAUCAGCUUUCAUGUCUCUGGCCGCGAGAGUGAGCUUUUUCCAAAGAAGGACAGGUUGGCAGGGCAGGUUUCCCUGUUCAGCAGCAGCAGUGGGAGUGGCGCUGAGAAUGAGAUGAAGCGUCCUGAGGAGAAGAAGAUCUUGGCACAGGAGGUUUCCCUGUCCAGCAGCAGUGCGGGGACCGGCCCUGAGAUCAAGUAG